Molecule: ribosomal RNA, 423 nt
Filed under: uncultured bacterium
Lineage: Bacteria
Description: bacterial SSU rRNA
Rfam family: Bacterial small subunit ribosomal RNA
Source: RNAcentral
AUAUUGGACAAUGGGGGCAACCCUGAUCCAGCGAUGCCGCGUGAGUGAAGAAGGCCUUCGGGUCGUAAAGCUCUUUAGGUUGGGAAGAAGGUGUAUAGGGGACAAUCCUAGACAUUUGACGGUACCAGCAGAAUAAGCACCGGCAAACUCUGUGCCAGCAGCCGCGGUAAUACAGAGGGUGCGAGCGUUAAUCGGAGUUACUGGGCGUAAAGGGCGCGUAGGCGGAUGUAUGAGUGUGAUGUGAAAGCCCCGGGCUUAACCUGGGAAGGGCAUCGCAAACGAUAUAUCUGGAGUAGAUGAGAGGGUGGCGGAAUUUCCGGUGUAGCGGUGAAAUGCGUAGAGAUCGGAAGGAACGUCGAUGGCGAAGGCAGCCACCUGGCAUCAUACUGACGCUGAGGCGCGAAAGCGUGGGGAGCGAACAGG